RNAcentral lists this ribosomal RNA (247 nucleotides) under uncultured bacterium. RNAcentral describes it as "partial 16S ribosomal RNA". It matches the Rfam family "Bacterial small subunit ribosomal RNA", at positions 523 to 769 of the family's 1533-position model. The record is from RNAcentral.
AUACGUAGGGGGCGAGCGUUGUCCGGAAUUACUGGGUGUAAAGGGCGUGUAGGCGGGACUGUAAGUCAGAUGUGAAAUUCCAGGGCUUAACCCUGGAGCUGCAUCUGAAACUAUGGUUCUUGAGUGCUGGAGAGGAAAGCGGAAUUCCUAGUGUAGCGGUGAAAUGCGUAGAUAUUAGGAAGAACACCAGUGGCGAAGGCGGCUUUCUGGACUGUAACUGACGCUGAGGCAUGAAAGCGUGGGGAGC